Malania oleifera is the source of this 982-nucleotide long non-coding RNA. RefSeq lists it as uncharacterized. The record is from RefSeq and is a predicted model, not a curated record. NCBI's taxonomy places the organism in Eukaryota, Viridiplantae, Streptophyta, Magnoliopsida, Santalales, Ximeniaceae. The transcript has 2 exons.
GCAGGGUAAAGCAGGAGUGUGGUUCGAAGACCGUUUGGUUAAGUAGUGGUGUAUGGGGUGCAGCAGGUAGAUGAAAAAGAACGGUGACAAACUCUCUAUCAGGUGGGGUUGUGGAAGUGGAUCAGAAGUGAAUUGUUGUUUGAGGCGGGGAGCAGUGAGCGGAUCUGUUUUGUGUCAUGACAAGUAGUGUAGUAGGUUCUCUUUGAAGGACUGUUACCCACAACCUUUCUUGCAAGGGAUAAAAAAUGCUUUGAUACGUUCUUGUGUGCAUCAGGCUAAUGCAGGGUUGGCUUGGAAUGUGACAUUCAUUUGGAAUGCAUGGAACUCGGAACUUGAAACUUUCUCAAGCUUUUUCAGUUUGUUGUGUGGCUUGGGAACAAAAGUUUGCGAGGGAGAGUAAGUUAGAUGGGAGACUGAAUAUGAAAGGAUAUAUUAUGGUCAAGUUAUUUGACUGGGUCUGUGAAGAGGAAAAUGUGGUGGGGAUUAGGUUAGUUUCCAUGUGGUGAAAGUGAUACGUAACAGUGACAUUUGUUAUUGCAUUGUUUUCGGAGAAGACAGUUGUGGACUUUGGCCAGCUCCAUCAUGGGAGUUGUGUGGGUGCUUUUGGGUUCGUUUUGGGAUUGUAGUGGCAUGAACAAGAACAAUUGCAUGAAGGGGGCAAAGAUUAGUGGAUUGAUCCUGCAAACUUUUUUUUUUUUCCCCGAAGGGGAGGGAAAGGUACAGUAAAAGUUAUUCAGGGAGAGAAAACGAUAAUGUAUUGAUUUUGUUGGUGAAGAUUAUUGGAGGGAAAGGUAUAGAACAGUGACUCUUCCCCACCCCCACCCCCAUCUCCCACCCCAAGAGUAAUCUGGUAAACAGGUGUAGAUAAUAAUAUAUAGACACUUACUGUUUUAUUUUGUCUUGGCUUGAGCUGUGAAUUGUACCACCACGGCAAGUGGGAAAUCUGUAUCGAACAAAAGAUUUAAUUAUCAAUUUAUCGCUA